UACGGAGGGGGCUAGCGUUGUUCGGAAUUACUGGGCGUAAAGCGCACGUAGGCGGCUUUGUAAGUUAGAGGUGAAAGCCCGGAGCUCAACUCCGGAAUUGCCUUUAAGACUGCAUCGCUAGAAUUGUGGAGAGGUAAGUGGAAUUCCGAGUGUAGAGGUGAAAUUCGUAGAUAUUCGGAAGAACACCAGUGGCGAAGGCGACACACUGGGCCAUUACUGACGCUGAGGCGCGAAAGCGUGGGGAGCAAACAGG
RNAcentral lists this ribosomal RNA (253 nucleotides) under uncultured bacterium. RNAcentral's name for it is "partial 16S ribosomal RNA". It matches the Rfam family "Bacterial small subunit ribosomal RNA", at positions 524 to 776 of the family's 1533-position model. The record is from RNAcentral.